Molecule: small nucleolar RNA, 122 nt
Filed under: Jaculus jaculus (lesser Egyptian jerboa)
Lineage: Eukaryota; Metazoa; Chordata; Mammalia; Rodentia; Dipodidae
Description: Small nucleolar RNA SNORA33 (ENSJJAG00000007678.1)
Rfam family: Small nucleolar RNA SNORA33
About the family: ACA33 is a member of the H/ACA class of snoRNA that guide the sites of modification of uridines to pseudouridines.
Source: RNAcentral
AAUUAGUCUGCUUAUCUGAAUAUGUUUCUGUAGAAAUUUAGUAAAAGAUGGAAAUAGUGAUGCCAUGUUAUGAGCCUUAAGGAAAACUGAGGUUGUUAAGGUCCCUGAAAAAAGCUACAGUA